CUACGGGACGCUCCAGUGGGGAAUAUUGCACAAUGGGCGCAAGCCUGAUGCAGCCAUGCCGCGUGUAUGAAGAAGGCCUUCGGGUUGUAAAGUACUUUCAGCGGGGAGGAAGGGAGUAAAGUUAAUACCUUUGCUCAUUGACGUUACCCGCAGAAGAAGCACCGGCUAACUCCGUGCCAGCAGCCGCGGUAAUACGGAGGGUGCAAGCGUUAAUCGGAAUUACUGGGCGUAAAGCGCACGCAGGCGGUUUGUUAAGUCAGAUGUGGAAUCCCCGGGCUCAACCUGGGAACUGCAUCUGAUACUGGCAAGCUUGAGUCUCGUAGAGGGGGGUAGAAUUCCAGGUGUAGCGGUGAAAUGCGUAGAGAUCUGGAGGAAUACCGGUGGCGAAGGCGGCCCCCUGGACGAAGACUGACGCUCAGGUGCGAAAGCGUGGGGAGCAAGCAGGAUUAGAUACCCGUGUAGUC
This 464-nucleotide ribosomal RNA is filed under the name uncultured bacterium. RNAcentral's name for it is "partial 16S ribosomal RNA". It matches the Rfam family "Bacterial small subunit ribosomal RNA", at positions 339 to 795 of the family's 1533-position model. The record is from RNAcentral.